Vicia villosa (hairy vetch) is the source of this 535-nucleotide long non-coding RNA. RefSeq lists it as uncharacterized. The record is from RefSeq and is a predicted model, not a curated record. NCBI's taxonomy places the organism in Eukaryota, Viridiplantae, Streptophyta, Magnoliopsida, Fabales, Fabaceae. The transcript has 3 exons.
GAAAUCUGAAAAAAUCUUUUUAUUUAUCGUCUUCUUCUUUCUGAAAGACCCAUCACCAUCUUCACCUUCUUUAAGAAAGAUGAAAAUGGAUAAUUCGUUCACAUUGGUUUGAAGUAGAAAGAUGAAAGCUUCAUGGAGGAUGAAUAUGGAUGCAAAGGGUUAAGGGUUUCCAGAUCCAAAAUAAUACGUAUUUAAUGUCGGUUUUAGUUUCUGGGUUUCGGUUUCUCCAUUAUUUUGAAGGUUUCGUUAAUUGGGGAAUGAUGAUGAAGAUGAUUCAGUUGAAGAAGACAAAGAUUUAAGGAAACAGUCUCGUUCUUGGAUUUCUUCAAAUUUACUGGGUUUCUUCAAUUAAAAAUCACGAACCCUAAAUUUAAAGCCACUGCCUCCAUUCCGUCAUGUUCACCAUGAUUUUGCCUUAUUAUUUUGGUUCCUUAAUUCUUGUGCGUCUUCUACUCUUGGUUAUAAUUUAGAUUUGCCUUAUUAUAAUGUCAAUUUGGAUUAUUGUAAUGAAUGUUUAUUGAGAGAAUCUAAAUCU